Molecule: long non-coding RNA, 620 nt
Filed under: Homo sapiens (human)
Lineage: Eukaryota; Metazoa; Chordata; Mammalia; Primates; Hominidae
Description: long non-coding RNA NONHSAT207073.1
Source: RNAcentral
GGCGCCCAAGCAGCAGCCGCCGGAGCCCGAGUGGAUCGGGGACGGAGAGAGCACGAGCCCAUCAGACAAAGUGGUGAAGAAAGGGAAGAAGGACAAGAAGAUCAAAAAAACGUUCUUUGAAGAGCUGGCAGUAGAAGAUAAACAGGCUGGGGAAGAAGAGAAAGUGCUCAAGGAGAAGGAGCAGCAGCAGCAGCAACAGCAACAGCAGCAAAAAAAAAAGCGAGAUACCCGAAAAGGCAGGCGGAAGAAGGAUGUGGAUGAUGAUGGAGAAGAGAAAGAGCUCAUGGAGCGUCUUAAGAAGCUCUCAGUGCCAACCAGUGAUGAGGAGGAUGAAGCCCUGAUUCAGGAUCAGAGUGAGGAAGAGGAGGAGGAAGAAAAACAUCCUCCUAAGCCUGCCAAGCCGGAGAAGAAUCGGAUCAAUAAGGCCGUAUCUGAGGAACAGCAGCCUGCACUCAAGGGCAAAAAGGGAAAGGAAGAGAAGUCAAAAGGGAAGGCUAAGCCUCAAAAUAAAUUCGCUGCUCUGGACAAUGAAGAGGAGGAUAAAGAAGAAGAAAUUAUAAAGGAAAAGGAGCCUCCCAAACAAGGGAAGGAGAAGGCCAAGAAGGCAGAGCAGGGUUCAG